UACGCAGGGGGCUAGCGUUGCUCGGAAUCACUGGGCGUAAAGGGUGCGUAGGCGGGUCUUUAAGUCAGGGGGGAAAUCCUGGAGCUCAACCCCAGAACUGCCUUUGAUACUGAGGAUCUUGAGUUCGGGAGAGGUGAGUGGAACUGCGAGUGUAGAGGUGAAAUCCGUAGAUAUUCGCAAGAACACCAGUGGCGAAGGCGGCUCACUGGCCCGAUACUGACGCUGAGGCACGAAAGCGUGGGGAGCAAACAGG
This 253-nucleotide ribosomal RNA is filed under the name uncultured bacterium. RNAcentral's name for it is "partial 16S ribosomal RNA". It matches the Rfam family "Bacterial small subunit ribosomal RNA", at positions 524 to 776 of the family's 1533-position model. The record is from RNAcentral.